RNAcentral lists this ribosomal RNA (480 nucleotides) under uncultured bacterium. Its description in RNAcentral is "bacterial SSU rRNA". It matches the Rfam family "Bacterial small subunit ribosomal RNA", at positions 19 to 518 of the family's 1533-position model. The record is from RNAcentral.
CUGGCUCAGGAUGAACGCUGGCGGCGUGCUUCAUACAUGCAAGUCGAACGUGAAGCUGACUUCGGUCAGUGGAAAGUGGCGGACGGGUGAGUAAUACAUAGGGAAAUCUGCCCUUAGGAAGGGGAUAACAGUCGGAAACGAUUGCUAAUACCCUAUAUGAGCUUGGUUGCAAUACCAAUCUUGAAAACUCCGGUGCCUAAGGAUGAGCCUGUGCCUGAUUAGCUUGUUGGUGGUGUAAUGGACCACCAAGGCGACGAUCAGUAGCUGGUUUGAGAGGAUGAUCAGCCACAAUGGAACUGAGACACGGUCCAUACUCCUACGGGAGGCAGCAGUAGGGAAUUUUGGGCAAUGGGCGAAAGCCUGAACCCCAGCAACGCCGCGUGUGUGAUGAAGCCCUAGGGGUGUAAAACACUGUCAGUAGGGAAGAAACUUGACUGUACCUACAGAGGAAGCACCGGCUAACUCCGUGCCAGCAGCGGC